AGGUGAUCCAACCGCAGGUUCCCCUACGGUUACCUUGUUACGACUUCACCCCAGUCAUGAAUCACAAAGUGGUAAGCGCCCUCCCGAAGGUUAAGCUACCUACUUCUUUUGCAACCCACUCCCAUGGUGUGACGGGCGGUGUGUACAAGGCCCGGGAACGUAUUCACCGUGGCAUUCUGAUCCACGAUUACUAGCGAUUCCGACUUCAUGGAGUCGAGUUGCAGACUCCAAUCCGGACUACGACGCACUUUAUGAGGUCCGCUUGCUCUCGCGAGGUCGCUUCUCUUUGUAUGCGCCAUUGUAGCACGUGUGUAGCCCUGGUCGUAAGGGCCAUGAUGACUUGACGUCAUCCCCACCUUCCUCCAGUUUAUCACUGGCAGUCUCCUUUGAGUUCCCGGCCGGACCGCUGGCAACAAAGGAUAAGGGUUGCGCUCGUUGCGGGACUUAACCCAACAUUUCACAACACGAGCUGACGACAGCCAUGCAGCACCUGUCUCACGGUUCCCGAAGGCACAUUCUCAUCUCUGAAAACUUCCGUGGAUGUCAAGACCAGGUAAGGUUCUUCGCGUUGCAUCGAAUUAAACCACAUGCUCCACCGCUUGUGCGGGCCCCCGUCAAUUCAUUUGAGUUUUAACCUUGCGGCCGUACUCCCCAGGCGGUCGACUUAACGCGUUAGCUCCGGAAGCCACGCCUCAAGGGCACAACCUCCAAGUCGACAUCGUUUACGGCGUGGACUACCAGGGUAUCUAAUCCUGUUUGCUCCCCACGCUUUCGCACCUGAGCGUCAGUCUUCGUCCAGGGGGCCGCCUUCGCCACCGGUAUUCCUCCAGAUCUCUACGCAUUUCACCGCUACACCUGGAAUUCUACCCCCUCUACGAGACUCAAGCUUGCCAGUAUCAGAUGCAGUUCCCAGGUUGAGCCCGGGGAUUUCACAUCUGACUUAACAAACCGCCUGCGUGCGCUUUACGCCCAGUAAUUCCGAUUAACGCUUGCACCCUCCGUAUUACCGCGGCUGCUGGCACGGAGUUAGCCGGUGCUUCUUCUGCGGGUAACGUCAAUGAGCAAAGGUAUUAACUUUACUCCCUUCCUCCCCGCUGAAAGUACUUUACAACCCGAAGGCCUUCUUCAUACACGCGGCAUGGCUGCAUCAGGCUUGCGCCCAUUGUGCAAUAUUCCCCACUGCUGCCUCCCGUAGGAGUCUGGACCGUGUCUCAGUUCCAGUGUGGCUGGUCAUCCUCUCAGACCAGCUAGGGAUCGUCGCCUUGGUGAGCCGUUACCCCACCAACAAGCUAAUCCCAUCUGGGCACAUCCGAUGGCAAGAGGCCCGAAGGUCCCCCUCUUUGGUCUUGCGACAUUAUGCGGUAUUAGCUACCGUUUCCAGUAGUUAUCCCCCUCCAUCAGGCAGUUUCCCAGACAUUACUCACCCGUCCGCCACUCGUCAGCGAAGCAGCAAGCUGCUUCCUGUUACCGUUCGACUUGCAUGUGUUAGGCCUGCCGCCAGCGUUCAAUCUGAGCCAUGAUCAAACUCU
This 1529-nucleotide ribosomal RNA is filed under the name Shigella flexneri SFJ17B. Its description in RNAcentral is "16S ribosomal RNA". Lineage: Bacteria; Pseudomonadati; Pseudomonadota; Gammaproteobacteria; Enterobacterales; Enterobacteriaceae. The record is from RNAcentral.